AUUGAACGCUGGCGGCAUGCCUAACACAUGCAAGUCGAACGGCAGCACAGCAGUAGCAAUACUGUGGGUGGCGAGUGGCGGACGGGUGAGUAAUGCAUCGGGAUCUACCCAAACGUGGGGGAUAACGUAGGGAAACUUACGCUAAUACCGCAUACGUCCUAAGGGAGAAAGCGGGGGACCGAAAGGCCUCGCGCGGUUGGACGAACCGAUGUGCGAUUAGCUAGUUGGUAGGGUAAUGGCCUACCAAGGCGACGAUCGCUAGCUGGUCUGAGAGGAUGAUCAGCCACACUGGAACUGAGACACGGUCCAGACUCCUACGGGAGGCAGCAGUGGGGAAUAUUGGACAAUGGGCGCAAGCCUGAUCCAGCAAUGCCGCGUGUGUGAAGAAGGCCUUCGGGUUGUAAAGCACUUUUAUCAGGAGCGAAAUACUACUGGCUAAUAACCGGUGGGGCUGACG
This 457-nucleotide ribosomal RNA is filed under the name Dyella sp. S717-03. Its description in RNAcentral is "bacterial SSU rRNA". It matches the Rfam family "Bacterial small subunit ribosomal RNA", at positions 30 to 474 of the family's 1533-position model. The record is from RNAcentral. Lineage: Bacteria; Pseudomonadati; Pseudomonadota; Gammaproteobacteria; Lysobacterales; Rhodanobacteraceae.